This is a long non-coding RNA of Heterocephalus glaber (naked mole-rat), 9037 nucleotides long. The record is from Ensembl. Lineage: Eukaryota; Metazoa; Chordata; Mammalia; Rodentia; Bathyergidae.
GCCAGGCUUCUUCCACCUGAUCACCUAGUUUAACAGGCAAAGCCACAGGCCCAGCUGGGAAAGAGAGAGGAGAGCACUGGGUGGCCCUCCAAGCUCCUGCUCAGACUCCUUUCUCUGCCAGGCCUUCUUCUCUGGGCUCUCUUGCAAGUGGGUGGUGCUGAGCUCUGGGCUGUACUGGAUGCUGAUUUUCACCAGUGUUUUGAGGUCAGGUCUGGAGUGGGAGCCCCAUGCUGCCCUGAGCCCCAGUCUGCUGGUCAAUAAAACAGGAGCAGCCACAGAGACAGAGGCCCAAACAGCUGGGAAAUGGGAUCAACUAUACAGGACAGUGGAUGACGACUGCUUUCUUGGGCUCUGCAUAGUUCUCCCAAGGAAGGAACUUCUGGGGAAGAUUUCAGUUAACUGAGAUUUCUAGCCACUGUUCAGUUAGUUGAACCCAGUUCCUGAAACUGUGAAAUGUCAGAACUGGAAGGCUCUUAAAGACCAAUUGUCCCAUUUAAGCAAACAUGCUGGGUCAGGGAAGGGACCUUGUCAAGUCACACCCUGGACUCUACUGAGUGUGACAGACCCUCUACAGGAGGCCCUCUGGGGACCAGGUGUGGUUUGGGUGGACAGUGUUGGGGCAGGAGCCUUUGUGAGUCAGACAUUAGGAUCUCCAUAGCUGAAGGUAUUGGGAUGGAAUCUGUUCCAGCCAUGGCCCUUGCAGGAGCACUGAGAUCCAUCCCAGGUGAGAGUUGGACACCUCACUUAUGGCCAUAAUUAUGCCUGUGGGUUUAGACCAAGUUCCGUCUCUCUCUCAGGGUCUCCAUUUCCUCAUCUCUACAAUGAGAGGCUUAGAAAAGAUCUCUAGAGUCUCUACAAUCUUCAUUUUUAAAAGCAGUCAUGAUGUAUGGAUGAAAGCCAUAACUACUAUUUAUUAUCGAAAUAGCUAAGAUUGACCACACUCUCAUUCUGUGCUCAGCCCUGCACUGAGGCCUUUCCCUGUAUCAUUGUCCAUUAUCACAAGGCCCUCAGAUAAGGAGGCUCCAUGGUACAGGCGAGGAGGUGAAGCUCAGGGCAACUCAGGGACUUGUCCAUGAUCAGGCACCCAAGGGAAAGCACUGCACUCAUGUCUGUAGGACCCCAAAACCUGACCUUCAAACAUCAGUCUUAGCUCCCCAGCUGGUAUUGCCAGGGCUAGAACAAGAGAGAUCCCAAUAGAGAUGCCUCCACAGGGUAGUACUAGGUCCUGCCCUAGGAACAGAUGCUCUGGGGAGCUGUCCUGGGUGUAGAAGGCAGUAUCUGCUCUUGGUCCCUCUCCCAGCCCUGCCCCAUGCAACAGUACUGGCCACUUACAAGAGUCCUGGAGGGGAACUGAGGCCAACUUCACAUGCUUUGGGUGGGAAGAGAUGCCCAGAAAGGGUAUGUAUUAUGGCAAAAUGAGUGACUUGCCCAGGGCCACAUGGCCAGCUAGAGGCUCAACUGGGACUCAUGCAGUUGCCUGACUUUCAGGCCACAUCCUUUCUCCUCCAGCCAGUGUUUAUAGGAGAAAUCUGGGCAUUGAUUCUGGAAGCCCUCUUCCGUGCUUCUCUGCAGCCCUGCCACUGUCCCUCUGUGAGGUGCAGACUGCCAGUUACAUUCUUAGAGGAAAUCAAUUUCCCAUGAACAAAACAGCUAUCAUGUCUUCCUUUCUGCUAAACCCACUGCUCCAGGCUUGAAAGGCAGCAAAACACUACGGAUGACUCAAUGCUUAACCAAGCAGGAAAGAAGGUGACUCAAGGUCAGACAGACCUCUGGGACCAGUUCAGCAACGCUGUGGCAGCAACUCUGUCACUAAUCGCCUGAUGCUGCAGAUAACAGAGAGGAUCCUGGCCUUGGACUUUGCUGAGGAGGAGGAGGCAGUGAUUUCCACAACAAAGGGAGACCAGAGUGCCACCUUCCACCAGUCAUUCGCCCAGUAUCUACCGAGUGCUCAUUCUGUCCCAAGCAUUUUGCUAGGGGCCAGGGAACAAGUGGUGAUCAGAAGCAGAUUCCCAGUCCCCCAGGUGCAUAGUCUGGUGUGUGAGUGGAUGGUAAAUGGAGCGGCCAACAAACACACUGGAGCUCUCGGGUGCAGAGUGUCGUGAAGUUUCUGACGGGACAGUUACCCGGGAGAGGAGAGGAAGGGGAGGCAGAGUCAGUUCUGAACCCUAAAAUUGGCAGAGUAAAGGUUGUCACUGCCAAGGCAGGGGUGAAUUCUCAGGUCUCAUCCUUGGCGGCUGUGCAGCAUUAGACAGCGGUGGUCUUUCUGGUCUUUUUGAAGUUCUCUCUCCUGUGUACACCAAUCUGUUCUUACCUGGCCUCUCUGAACGCUUCUCCUCAGGCUUCCUUGUGACUCUACUGUGAAGCUUCCUCAGGGUUCUCUUCUCUCUCUGGGAGUCUCCUGCAGAAACUCCAUUUACUCACUGCUCCCAGCAUCUCCUGCCCUUUCAUCUUAGCCCCCUGCCCCUGCAGGCCAGGCCCCAGGAGCAUCUGGGGUGUGACCACUGGCGCCCCAGGCACAUCUGCUCCGCAGUUCAAACCUCAACCUGCCCUCAACUGCUGCAGUUAAAAGAAAAACCUGGACUCUGGCACCUCCUCCCAUUGCUUAGCAGCUUUGUGACCUUGGGAUGCUCCCAAAGCCCCUGGAGGCUCUGAUUCAUUAUCUCAAAAAUGAGGACAGGGCUCCAACUGCAUCAGCUAUUGUGAAGGUUGAAUGAAAUAGUGUUGCAUGGCUGGGCAUGGUGGCUUAGACCUCUCAGCCCAGCACUCUGGGAGGCUGAGACAGGAGGAGUGCAAGUUCGAGCCCAAGUGGUGCAAUUUCUGAGACCCUAUCUCCAAAAUAUAAAAAAGGGCUGGAGAUGUAGCUCAGUGCAAAGGUACUGGGUUCAGCCCCCAAUACCAAAAAUAGAGAGAGAGAGAAAGAAAGAAAGAAAAAGAAAGAAAGGAAGGAAAUAGUGUUGCACACUGUCCAGCACAGUGCCAACUCUAGCUGGACACGCAGCAUAUAUUCCCUCUGCUCUGGUCAACCUCGUCCUUUUCACCCUCUAUGUUUAUUUGCUCAACAGCUUUUGUCAAGUCCAAUCAUAAAUAUCUCUUGGGUUCAUUCCCUCCUGCAUCCCUUAUGUCAUUGCACUAAUGCAGGACCUUCUGACUGACCUUUUUGCUUUCAGAGUUCCCAUCUGAAAUAUGUUUCCUGGGGCCAAUGCCUCCCUGUACUAUGACACCCAGGUUCUUUAUCAAGUCCUACAAGCUACAUCCCAAGUUGGCUCCCUUUUCUCUGAGACCCUCCUGCCCACCUCCUCCCACACCCCUCCAGGCACUGUCCUUCCAGGAUGCCAGGAAUGGCCACACACCCUUCCUCCUCCGCAUCUCCUCUUGUCUGACCACUUUCACAGAUGAUGUCAGGUUAUGACCUUUGCCAUCUCCCCUCCCUGUACCAGGCUGGACACUCUUUUCUCUGUGCUUCUGCUGUGACCAUUACUGAUACCCUCUGAGGACACAGCAUAAAUGUCAUAAGUGUCAAGGACACCCUGUGUCCUUGGUAGAGGAUCUGCUUUUCCCACAGGGAAAACCUGAUAUCUGGCUCAUCUUUGUGUCCCCCGAAUUGGCACAGGGCCACACAUUUACUCCAGUAAUGAGGUCUCUGGUUCCUAGUGGGCUCCAGUGGUUUGGGAGACUCCACUAAUAAACCAAGAAAAACUGUGGGAAAAUUGCCAGCUGAGGUUAGCUGAGUUUCGUUUCUUUUCCUUUCUUUUCUUUUUGCCUAGUACAUUCUAAGAAGGCAGAGCCUCCCCUUGUUGGUCCUUGGCAAGCUUGGGGCCCAGGGGCUGAACUGUCUGUAUAGUGGGGCCUUGCCCAGUCCUGCUCUCCUUUAUUUUAGUCCACCCCCCCUCCAUAAUCUUAUUCAUCUGGUUCUUGCUUGCUAAGCAGUCCUGUUUCUCUAACUCAAACGAAAGAAGGGACAGACAUCCUCUGCUUUUCUUCCUUUCCCUUACUUCCCAUCUUCUAAACUUUACAGAUAUGUCAGAAUCUUAUAUUACUGCAGCUGAGGUUCAAGGUGGGUUGCUGUAUACAAAGUAUUUAUCGAUAGUGUCUCAAAAAACUAGAGGAAAAUGCUUUUUUGGAGGGGUGGGAAACAGAUGAACUGGGCUUUGCAGAAUGUCUGCUGUAAAUACCCAGUGGAAGGGUAGGAGCGUGGAGUUGUUCCCUUGGGGGAAGCGGGCAGUGGUCUUACUUUGAGUUCAACACACCCUCCCCUGUCUCUGCAGCCAGAAUGCUCCUCUAGGAGGAGGCCAGUUGUGGCUCAUGGGUCAGGUGAAGGCAGGCUAAGGGUGUAGGGUCAGCAGGGUGGACCUCCUGGUCUUUGGGAGGUCUACUCAAAUGAGGCUGAGUAGUCUACAAGACAUCCUAAUUGAGGCAGUGUAUUCCUCAAAGGUAGACCUUAGGUCCUCUGCAUUACAGUCCUCUAGGUGUUUGUUAAACCAGUGGACUCAGAAUCCAGAUCGAAGUGGUGAUGCCCAGCAGUCAGCAUGUGUGACAUCCCUGCCUGGGCCUUGCAUGCACACCUGUUUGUGGGUGAGCAGCUGCAUCUGGCUUGAAAUCCAGACUGGAGUCUUGAGUGGGAAAAGAAUGAAAAUAAGAAUUUUGGCCCACAAUCCAACUGCUGUGUUUUCUACAAAUAUAAAAUAGAACCUACUGUAAACCUAGCAACAAAAAUCAAAUCUCCAGCAAUCUAUAACACUUACUAAUUCUGUUUUGCUUCACCACUAACAAAGAUUUCUGUCUUUUUAAAAAAUUAUUAAUUGUAGUAAAAUUCACAAACAUAAAAUUUACCAGUGUAAACAUUUUUAAGUGUGAAGUUUAGUAGUGUUAAGGACAUUCACAUUGAUGUGGAAUGAAUCUCUAGAAAUCUUCUCAUUUUUCAAAAUUAAAAAAUUGAACCCAUUAAAUGAUGACAAAUUUCCUCUCCCUCCUCAACCUGGCAACCACUCUUCUUUCUGUCUCUAUGGCUUUCUCUGCUGUAGGUCCUUGUGUAAGUGGAAUCAUGCAAUAUUUGUCCUUUUUUUUCUUUUGGCAGGCUUAUUUCACUUACUGUAGCACACUUUCUAAAUGUAAAGAAUUAGUAAGGUACAAGCUGCUCUCAAAUGACAACUGUUUUCUGGGCUCCUCUAGCAGAAUUCUGAUUUUUGUUUUGUUUUGAGCAGUUGUUCUGGGCCCUCAGUUUGCCAAGGCCAAGUGCAGACCUACUCGUGCUUUGCCAGAGGAUUCAGCUGUCCUGGCCAGCUUGGGUCCUCAGUGACGACAGUCUUGCCAAUUUGUUAGAAGUCUUUGAACAUUUUCUUCCUGCAUAAUUUCUACGGUGGAGCUUUUAAAAUUUUCAUUCAAAGAAAAAGGGAGAAAAAUAGACCCAAGUAAGCCUUAGCUUUUGCCCCAAAAGCCAGAAAUCAGUGACUGUCUCCUUCCAGUCUGAAGAUGGUCCCCUUGGUAAUGAAGUCACUCAAUUCCUUCAACUAAAUGAUCCGUUCAGCUUUGAUAUACAAGUUUUAUCUCCUCUAGAAUUUGUGUUCUCAACCCUGAGCUCAUUAGUUCGGGGCCCUGUUGGAGUUUCAGGGUUAAGAAGGCUGGUGUGGAACCUGUCUAGCAAGUUCCCGUGAUCUGGUGAUACACUGUGAGGACCACUGCCCUGGGUGAUCUUUCAACUACAUUGUCCCAGUUCUGCCACAUUAUCUUUCUUGGUUGGAGGCCCCUUCCCCCAAAUCUAAUUUGGGCCUUUCUUCUUCUGAACAGUUUAAACAUUUAAAUAAACAUGAUGAAAUAUUUCUACAGCAAAGUAACAGAGUUCUCCCAAGGUUAGGAAACUCAGUGUGCCCAAAAUUUGUAUCCAUCUGUGCCUAGAAUUAGGGUGCAUUUUGUGAUCAGAACCAAGAGGUGAGUGACUCGAGCUUGGAGGUCAUUUUGUGGCUAGUCCUGGGGUAGGAUCCGAGUCCCCCAUGGCACACUGUAGCAUAGGGAGGACCUACCUGCCCACCUGGCUGAAAGUAGAACAUACCCAGAAAACGUGUUCAAAGUAUACCUGCAAAGUGACAAUGAAGGAACAUACUACAGUGGCCAAGGCUGGUGUGGCCCUACUUCAUUAUCCUCUUCCUUUUCUACCUGCCUUUGGAAAAACUUGAGUUGAAACAGUUAGUACCUGGUGUCUGCUUUCAUCUCCAACCACAGGCAAAUUCUUUGCUCUGAAGAUGUCCCUGGCAGGUGCAGCUUCAACCCUGUGGCAGCUCAGAAUGCAGCAUUAAUCCACCAAGUUCGCAAGAACACCCGAAGAUCUUGAAAAACUUAUUAAAAGAGAAAAUGGUUACCAUUUUACUAAAACAAGAAGAUAGCACACUUCACUUCCCAGAUCUACUUACCAGCAAGUUCCCUCAGCCCCAAGGUAGCUGAAGACUCAGAGGAAGGAAAAUGAAUUUUGAACCCCAGAAAUAGAUACUGUAACGCUGUGUAUCAAAGGCCAAACCAUUUUUGAACAAUGAAUCCCUCUUGCCUUUCACUUUAAUUUUAAAUUCAAUUCUAGUGAACUUGGUCUUGGUUUUUUAAUAAUGAAGCAAAUGAAGAGAAUGAUAACAGGUGCUAGAUAUAGCAAGAAAUAGCAGCUAAUAGUCUAAUAGUGAAUGUAUUACAAAGACCAAAUCCAUGUAUGUCAGCAACUGUCAUGUGACUGGAGGCCACCAAAUGGAGGAGCAGGGAUAUUAGGGAGAUUGUAACACCCUCCAGAUCAACAGAGCAUUUCUGCUCCAUUCAGCCUUUGACAUCCACAGCCACACACAAAACAGUAUACUGUCUUUAUGAAGGCAAGCAGGGAUCUUAUCCACUGUAGAAUUAUUUCCAUCCCCAAACACUUAUAGCAUGGUCAUCAAAGUCUUGGUGCUUAAAAGAUCAGUCUUCAGUGACCUCAGAGUUCCUGUAGGUGAAAUAGCUCAUUAUCUGGUGAUGCAGGACAUCUGAGAUCAGUAAAUGGCCUCUCUUCUACUUGCCUUUCCCUUCAGACAGUGGCAAUUACUGCUACCUCUCUCUCAAGAAAUAAGAAACAGGCCCCUUCUACCUUCACACCUCAAAGGGACCUUGUGUUGUGUUGAUGGCUUGGCCAGGACAUCCUCUUUCUGUACCUCUGCUCUACUUGAGCUAUUUGCACAUGGGAGGAAGCUUGCUAGAGCCAGGGCAGCCUCUGCAGCAGCUCAGGCCUGGGUUCAUGUAUGAACUUAAAAAUAUGACUGUUUGCUCACAAGUGAACACUUCCACUUUCUAAACACCUUCACCAUCCAUUUUUCACUGGGCUUUGUUGCAUCCUGGGAGGAGGAUAGGGCAGACAGUAGCAGUCCUAUUUGACUCCAGUCCAAGAAGAUGGUGGUGCCAUGCCCAGGUCACCUGUGAUUAAUGGUGGAGGUCUCCCCUUGGGUGCACAAGCUUUCCCAAAGUGGGAGAGGCUAGAGGGCAGGGAGAGGUGGCCAGUGUCCUACUCUAGCCCCUGUUCUGGCUUUCUUCUCAUUGGGGUGAUCUAGCUGAUCCGGAGUAUGGUCCAGGUCUAGGCCUUACCCUUGGACUCGCACCCUGUGCGUUGUCUCUGGAGGGGCUUGUUGAGUAUUCAUUCCUGCCUGGAGGCCAAGGCUAGGGCACCCAGCAGUGCCGGCUGAAAGUUCCUGGUGGGGCAAAGGGAGGCAGUUGUAUUUGACAGUCACCAGGGCCACAGACUUAAAUAAAAUGGAAGUGUGGAGGGAGUGGGCAUUGGGUCCCGUGACAUCAGUCCACCCCACUGCUGUGACCACUUGUGAGGAAGCUGGUGGGUCCUGAGUGACAGCUCCUGCUAGACCCUGGGAGCCAGUCCUAUUAUAUAUUUUUCUGGGGUGAUGCUUGGCCCUCAUUGUGGCUGACUUCUGAGCAAGUUCCUAGGGUGGAAGUCACUUUGUGAGGCAACCAGUCUUUUCUGAGGGCCCUACUCUCUGCACACAAGAGUUAGGGAGGUGGCAGGGGUUAGAUGGCUUGCAGAUUCCCUUUCUGGAUAGGACUGACUUCCCUGCAGAGAGCCAUAACAAUGUCAUAUUGUCAGAACUAUGAAAUAAGUGUACAUGUGAAUGUACUUUUUAAAUGAUCAUUUCAUCUAAAGAGGACCUUGGGUUGCUCAGUGGUUCAUCUGAAAUUGAUUCCCUGCCAUCUCUUCUCCAAACAAAACCAGGACAGAUCCUGGGGGCAGCAGAGAAGCUAAGGAAGCUGCUUGCCCAUUGUCUGCAGCUCUGUACCUGGUGAGGCUUCAGCCCAGAGGUCCUGCCUGGGUGGCAGACAGAGGAGCUUGUCCCAAGGGCUUGGUGGUAGUGACUCAUCUCUGAAUGGCUUCUAUCCAUUGCUUGACCCAUUCCUCCCUGCUUUCCUUUCCAAGAGCCAAGUCAUGCUAUGCGGUACUCCAUGGAGCCUUUUUCACUGGAGAAAGAAAGGGAGGUCCACUGCAUUUGCUGGGAUGUAGAGCAACAUCUUGUUUUGUUGAUUUGCCUUCCCCUUGGCCCUGGUGAGAAACAAGUUGUGUCAGUUGGAAAGACUUGAGGAGAAGAGGUCACACCACUACCCUAGUUUUAUGCAAAUAUUAUUGUGGGAGCAUUUGGUUCAUAAAACUCCAGCAAUAUAAUUCUAGCUGCGUGUGACUGUCCUUGAGUAGUGAUUUUGCAGUGAUGGCUGGCACUCUGGGCCCAAAAAUAUUAUCAGGGUACUUUGUGUCUGUCACUGUGUUUGAAAGACCCUUAAUUUCUACCCAAUAAAACCAAUCAACUCUUCAAACCUGCUCUCUCUAAGUAAAACCUCUCUAUCAAGAUCCAAAGUCACAUCAAAGGCACUUGAAUAGUAAUAACACCUCAUGAAGAAACAGGGCUGGGGUUAUACCUCAGCGGCAGAGUGCUUGACUAGGAUGAGUGAGGCCCCAUGUUUGAUCCCCAGAACUUAAGAAAAACCCACCACCAAUAACAAAUUUUUAUGUCAGUCUGUGUGAGUGCACAUAUAAUAG